This 105-nucleotide microRNA precursor is filed under the name Marmota monax (woodchuck). The record is from RNAcentral. Lineage: Eukaryota; Metazoa; Chordata; Mammalia; Rodentia; Sciuridae.
ACAAGAAUCUCCUAGGAAUCUUGUUAAUAUGCAGAGUCUGAUGUUGCAUGUCUUGUGUGGAACCUGAGAAACUGCAUUUCAGAACAGCUCCCAGGUGAUGCCAAU